CGGAGAACCAUCAGGCCAACAUCUGCUCCAGCAAAGAGGCAGUUAGCAGCCCUUGAAGAAAACUCAUUUUUGCUCUAUUGUGAUUGAGUCUUCCAGAGAAAUCUGUUUUGUAACUGAAAGCUGAUAAAUUAAAGCUGGCUGUGGAUGAAGCCAUUGAAAGCUGCUGACCCCAAACAAUUUUGCUCUAAAGAAACAAAACAGAACACUUAAAUUGAUGAGAGCAGAGCAGCUCUCAGAAAGCAGCUCUCAGAGAGGUCUGACGGGAGGGAGAGCUGGGCAGGACGGCCUAGCCCUGAGCAGGCCACCACGCAUGCACGUGUCCAGGAGCUGUGACCCAGACCCGCGUCCCAGGACAGACUGGAGGUGGAGGCAGAAAUGAGUGCUCACGGACACCUGCUCUAAGGAUGAGAGCAGAGGUUGAUGGGAAGUAGGCCACAGAACAGACCCCCAACUGGACACAACUGAGGCAGCCAGACUCAACCUCCAGGCCCUGCCCCUGAACUGCUGAAAUCAUGUGGAGAAGAAAGUUAGACAAGUGGGGCCAUGUAAGGGCCUGACCUGGACUGAACUUUGAGAUCUCCCAGGAUGUGGUGGACCCCUGGCAAAGACACAGAUGAGGAAGCUGAGGACCUGAGAGGAUAAGCCGAGACUUCUUUGAGUAUGGAUUCUAGAAGCAUCAGAAGCCUAAAUUCACCAGGCUCCUUUCAGCGUCCGUAAACUGGAUAGAUUCCCAUUGUGAGGCAACCACCAAGAGCCUGAAAACGUAGUACCGGCUGACGGAGGGUUACAUUGUACAGCAAGCGAAGGGAGUCAAAUCAAGGAAGAAGAGCUAACGGACUUCACUUGUGCCAGGCACCGUAGCUCUUUGUAUGUCUUCCCUCAUUUGAACCUCACAAGGGUCUUCUGAGCUGUGCUUGGCAUUUGCCACGCGGAGGUUGGCGUGGGGACGCGUACCGUGGAGACACUGAGACCAGAUGCCUGAAUUGAACAGGUCUAUGGCUCAUUUGAGGAGAACGAGGACAAGUCGCAACAAACAAAACAAGGCAAGAGAGAGCGAGAGCGGUUGGGGAAGCAGCCACCAACUCUCACUCCAGACGAAAGCUGCUUCAGAGGGAGGUAUCUGAUGCACAACUCUUCGCAAGCAGGUGGUGUGAGUACUCACUGACUUGUUGAGUUUCAAGCAGAGGACACGCGCCCUUCUGAGAAGGUCAGAUAAUCUUUCAGAAAGGAGCUAGGCUUCAAGAAGAGAGAACCCCAGGCCAGAAGAAAGACACUGGCAAAGGCACAAUUAAAUUUAAAGCACAAGCCUUUGAGUAGGAGCAAAGAUGUGGGCACAGCAUUCUGUUUUGACCUACCCUGUCCAAUAUGGUAGCCACUGGCCACGUGUGACCACUGAGCACUUUAAAUGAGGCUAGUGUGACAUGACAUAUGCUGUAAGUGUAAAAUACAUGGCUGGUAGUUCUAAGACUUAGUACCAAAAAAAUGUAUGUCUCACUAUGUUUUAUAUUGGUUAUAUAUUGAAAUUAUAUUUUUGGUAUAUUGGGUUAAAAUAAUUAUUAUCAUUAAUUUCACCAGUCU
Herpailurus yagouaroundi (jaguarundi) is the source of this 1578-nucleotide long non-coding RNA. RefSeq lists it as uncharacterized. NCBI's taxonomy places the organism in Eukaryota, Metazoa, Chordata, Mammalia, Carnivora, Felidae. The transcript has 5 exons. The record is from RefSeq and is a predicted model, not a curated record.